Molecule: long non-coding RNA, 255 nt
Filed under: Nicotiana benthamiana
Lineage: Eukaryota; Viridiplantae; Streptophyta; Magnoliopsida; Solanales; Solanaceae
Description: long non-coding RNA (NBEN_LNC011822)
Source: RNAcentral
UGGAAAAUCAGAUUUAUUGUUUAACUAUUGAGCAACGGACAUAUCACCUCUAAACUCUAUAAAUAGAGGUCAUUUGAACUCAUUUGGCAAGAACAACAUCUAUCAAUUAUCUAUAAACAUCUUGAUAUUAUUUUUGCAUCAUUUUAGAGAUUUUGUUGAGCUAUUUGAGAGACAACUUUGUGUUGUUCAUUGAGCUAAUAUUGUAUCUCUUUAUCUACUCUUCUUAGAGAGUCUUUGUUGUAAAAGAGAGAAAUU